AGUAAAGAAGUAAAAAUUACAUUUAGUUUCGACCUAAAUAAAGAUAUAAAAUCCUUUACUU
This 61-nucleotide transfer RNA is filed under the name Lethocerus indicus. RNAcentral's name for it is "tRNA-Arg". Lineage: Eukaryota; Metazoa; Arthropoda; Insecta; Hemiptera; Belostomatidae. The record is from RNAcentral.